Molecule: ribosomal RNA, 210 nt
Filed under: uncultured bacterium
Lineage: Bacteria
Description: partial 16S ribosomal RNA
Rfam family: Bacterial small subunit ribosomal RNA
Source: RNAcentral
UCGGAUUGUAGGCUGAAACUCGCCUACAUGAAGCUGGAGUUACUAGUAAUCGCAGAUCAGAAUGCUGCGGUGAAUGCGUUCCCGGGUCUUGUACACACCGCCCGUCACACCACGGAAGUUGGGGGCGCCCGAAGCCACUUAGCUAACCCUUUUGGGAAGCGAGUGUCGAAGGUGAAAUCAAUAACUGGGGUGAAGUCGUAACAAGGUAGC